CGCAAAGUGACGAUGGGGAAGAGUACGUACUCCUGACGUGCAGAGAGGGGCUGGCUUGGUGAAAAGCCCUCCGAGGGAGUAGGGAAGGUGGCCCCGGAGCGCCUGCCGGAAGAGGAGUAUGGCAGGCCGGAGGCCUCCGUUAUAGGUCUUGAAGUGCGGGCAUAUUAUCACGCCCGAAUUCAGGUGGUACCACGGACAGCACUGUUCGCCCUGAGC
RNAcentral lists this non-coding RNA (216 nucleotides) under uncultured Eubacteriales bacterium. Its description in RNAcentral is "uncultured Clostridiales bacterium T-box". It matches the Rfam family "T-box leader". Rfam says of the family: Uncharged tRNA acts as the effector for transcription antitermination of genes in the T-box leader family. Lineage: Bacteria; Bacillati; Bacillota; Clostridia; Eubacteriales. The record is from RNAcentral.